CUCCUUACACAUUCAUCUCUCCGUAUCCUACACACAACCAAUCAUGUUUAUGAGGCUCCCUAGCUAGGAGAACUUGAGAUGGGUUACUCUGUAAUGGUGCUAAGGAUGAAGAUCGGAUUCCCCCUCCUCGUCCUCUUCCUCCUCCUUUCCUUCCGCGUCGACCCUGCAAUGAGCAGCAAUGACUAUAUUGAUAGCUACUGCAACACGGACAUCAAUUACAUUGACGGAAGCGAGUUUCAAACGAACAUGCGCCUCGCCUUUGCCACUUUGAUAGCGGAUGUCAAUCCCCUUGGUUUCUCCAAUGCCACACAGGGGGAAGGAUCGGAUAGAGUGUAUGCCAUGGCGCAGUGCAGGGGCGACGUUGGUCAGAAUACCUGCAAGGAGUGCAUCGACACUUCGACCCAAAAGGUCAACGACACAGACUGCACCCACCCCAUGGAAGCCAUCAUAUGGUAUGAAAACUGCCAGCUCCGCUACUCCAACACCGACUUCUUUGGUAUCCUCGAUGUCGCACAUUCUGGGUAUAAUAGUUGGAACGAUGACGUGGUGGCUGACGAGUCCUUCAACGAGCAGCUGGGCAGUCUGCUUCAGAAUCUAACUUCUCUAGCAACAACACCAAGAGAGCCAGCUUCAAAGUUAAUGUUUGCCACGGGCAACAUCCUCUACACCGAUCUGCAGACAAUAUACGGGCUAGUGCAGUGUACCGGAGAUACCAGCGUUGCUGAUUGUAAGCAGUGUUUGGACACCACCAGGUCCCAGAUACCAACAACGGAGUUUUGCGAUCAUUCAACCGGCUGUGAAAUUGUCACCGGAAGUUGCCGUUUGAGGUACGAUACGAAGCUCUUUUAUGAAACCACAACAACUUCAAUCCCUUCUCCUCCGCCACCUCCAGCAGAUUCAAGCCCAAGCCCAUCCCUCCCGCCCAAUUCAGCACCUCUAUCAAGUCCAGAGCCAAGCGUAUUAACUCCUCCGCCCAAUUCAGCACCUGUAACAUCCAACACUACUACAUCAGACAAGCGGAACCACUCAAGCGGCACAUCUGUGGCUAUAAUAACCAUCAUUACUUUUGCGUUCACGACUACAGAUCUACUCGCGAUGCCGUCGUGGUUAUAACUAGGCCCACCAUAAUCGGUUUGUUUGAUCAUAUUACAAGUUUAUGUCGUGUGAUUUUUUCAUGUGUGAUCUGUCAGUGUAUUUCUUUGUUCUUUUUUGUUGUUGCCAAUGUUACGAGAUUUAUGGAGGAAGAUUGACAUCAAGAUUGGCAAGCAUAUUACGAUUGAUCAGAUAAGGGAAAGAAAUUCUCCCUUUUGCAUAACCGUUCUCUUGGCUCGCCAAAAUCAAAGUGUAUAAAUCUCCCUUCUCUCUUUGAUUGUAAGAACCACGUAAAUUCUUGCUGUUUCUCCUUGUUCCUCUUAUGGUUUUUUAACAGCCAACAGCACUCAGGCAGACUCCGGUUGUUAAUGGUUGCUUCUCACGAGAACGGCCUCGUCGUCCAACGUCAUUAGUCCACUCAACUUUCAGUUCCUAAAUGUCCAAGCAUCAUUUGGGUCGUCAUCAUUUCGGAGAUUGUAGUUAUCGUCUUUUAAUAGGAGUUAUAACGCUGGGCUGGUAAGUUCUUUGGUCUGACUAAGAAGAUUGACUUGUAUGGGAAUUAAUCGAAUCAUGACGACCAUGACGAGAUGACACCAACUUGUUUCAUAAAUUUGUAUUUGGUUAAUUCAUACUUUAACGGAUGUCAUAGUAGUGCCAUCCUUGGUUUAUAGAUGAUAGCUGAAAUGAAGGAUACCAGCAGAGCGUAAUGCGUAUCCUUGGUUCUCUUUUACUUGCUCGUGGGUCGAAGACAAUAAAAGAUAGCUUCUGCCACGAUCAUUCUCAUGAAAAGGUCUGUGGUGGAUAAAAUGGUAAAAGUUGUUCCUCUUUUAGCAGAAUACUUUUAUAAUAUAAUAAGAGGAGGCAAAUGUUUUCAAGGGAAAAAGAGAGGGAUCGGCAGUCUGUGAUAGCCUUUCCGUGCUUCUCUAGUUCUGCAGCCUUCCAACAUGACGAGGUUCUUGUCGAUGAGAAGGACUGCAAGAGAGCCAGGAGUCCAGAGCCAGGACUCCUUUCCUCCACCUGAUUCCCUCAGCUGUUGGUGAAGCGGAGAGCAAACAGAGGCGUCCCUGCCUACUCGAACGCGAUCUUAUCCUAGACCACGAGAUCGGAAGCAAUGUUGUUUUCUCACUUUUAGAGUUCUUCUCAUCCAGCCUCAAGAAUGCCGGUGGAUUUUUUCAUGGGGCAAACAUUAAGGAAUGGCUGAAGAGAGACAGUUCCUCCACUUGAUGAUUUAUGUUGGACAGGGAGAAGCAGAAAAAGGGUCAGUGUUGCCGAUGGGGGUGCAAGGAGGUGUGAGGAUAAAUUCUCUCUCUCUCUCUCUCUCUCUCUCUCUCUCUCUCUCUCUCUCUCUCUCUCUCGUUCGGAAAACACUAGCUUCCUUCAUUGCUGUGGCUUUGGAUUUUAAGCCGAGGAAUGCGACAGAUCUCUUUUGUGUUUUGUGCAUUUUUUUCCCCAUUGCAUCUCUUAAGCCUUGCUGUUCGUUGCUUCAUGAGGUUAUUCAUACCUACUGAAUUUGUUAGAUAUUUAGUGCAUGAGUAUGAAGUCUGCGGCUGUAUUGGUGCAAUUUUUAACUCACCAAAGCAAGAAGCUUCCUACUGAAAUAAUGGACUUCUGAUUAAUCACGUAGAGUGGAGCCUGAAGUAACUUGGUAAGAUCACCAGAACAUCAACAUAUUCAAUGGGCUCAAUAAUCGGCUUCAUGAGCUUGAGAUGAAAGCGGCCACGGUGUCAUUUUUUUUGUUUUCCUUUUCCUUUUUGACUUUGUACUUUCUGUUUACUGUUAGAUUUUGGUCCUCAUUUUCUUUAGAAAUUAGAGAAUAUGAUAGUUAUCCUUGGUAUGUACUGCUGGAUUCCUAUUCUUGGCGGGUAAAUUUAAGAUAUCCAUGUUGUCCUGCAUAUGUUCUUUUCUGAAGCUCCAGAUGUUGUUAGUGGUAGUGGACACGAAUCAUGUUAAGCAUGAAAGUGUAUGCAUUUAGGAUAGAGAUCAUUGUAUUUGAGCCUUUUCAAGGGAAGUUUGCAUAGUAAUCAGAUUGCACAUAAAAUUUUCUUACCCUGCACGUAAAGAAUGAUAGCAUAAAAUAUCAAUUUGUGAAUACAAAUACUACAGAUGUAUACAAAGGUCAUACUGUCAAGUGUCUACAAUUUGUUUUUAACAGCUGAAAGCCUGAAAUGUAGUUGAUAAGCAAAAGUUCAACCACAAAUUCUGUCUAUCGAGAAAAGAUGAAGAACUGAAAAGUUCAACAACUGGAAAGAAGAAUUAUUUUCAGUGGAAGGACAAAAAUUGAUAAGCAAACGUUCACAGGCAUAUAGUUGCUAACAUUCCCUACGGCCCAUCUGCCUUGGCUGUCAAGGAAGCAGCGUGGGGACUUGCUUGUCAUGCUACAAUUUAUCAUCAUGAGAAGAUUUGAUUUGAUGCCAGGUCGAUCGGAUACAAUAAUAUUAAUCGCUUAGUAUAAAAAACCCAAACAGUUGUAAGUCGAAAAAAAAACAAAUUUGUACAAAAAAACCAAACAGUUGUAAGUCGAAAAAGAAACAAAAUUAGUACAAAAAACCAAACAGUUGUAAGUUGAAAAAAGAAACAAAAAAAAAGUCGAAAAAGAAACAAAACUAACAAAGAGUAGCUGGGUUGAAGAAAAACAAAUAGAUGAACUGGAGCUAAAAUAAACCUCAUCCAUCCCAUCUAUUUGUUUGGACAUUUUAUUAUUAUUUAUUUGUUUUUUAUUUAUUUGUUUUAUUUAUUCAUGUUUGCUAACUUAUAACUAAUAUAUGGAACCCGAGCUUGGCCACUUUAUUGCGGAUCAAACACUAAAGAAGAGGUCCACGAGAAUGUUAACAAUGGCCCGGGCAUUGCGGGUUUCAUUUAAUUAACACGUCGAUGAAUGGAGACAUUUUUAAAUUUUGACCACCAGAGCACGUGGGGUCGUGGAGCCAGCAAGUUCUGUGAACAGCACGAUUGGAGAGCCGUUGGAAGUCAAAUGGAGGCCGUUCACCAAUUUAAACAAAUGUGCGCCGACCAGCGGUCUCUCUCUCUCUCUCUGCCCUCCCCCCGAGUGUGCGCAGAAGGGAUGUCAUUUGGGAAUGACAGAGUAUGUGCAGAGGCUAAUGGUGGCCGCCGCUGCCACUUUCAUCCGUUAGCGAGGAUCAGAAGGAGUGGAACGAUAAUCUCAUGGACAUGGCGACGUCGGGUGUCUCCAGCGUCUCAUGGCUCAUAUGCAGAUACCAGCAGGGUUUCAACGCCAUCGAUGCUUCUAUUACUUUGUUCACCAUUUUGGUGGGCUUCAAUCUUGAAGCGAUUUGCCGGAGACAAGGUAGCAGGGUUUCAACGCCAUCGAUGCUUCUAUUACUUUGUUCACCAUUUUGGUGGGCUUCAAUCUUGAAGCGAUUUGAUCCUCGAUUCUCUUUUAAGACAAGGUCGGUCAUCUCUUGCUCUCUCAUCCAUAUGGCAGUGUUGCGUUCUUUGUAGAUAUUUUGUUAUAUUAUUCAUAAUCUUAUGGGAUAAUUGAGGGAUCUUGAGUCAGAUUCCUUUCUUGGUGUUUCUGGAUGUAUUUUAUGGGAGAUAUACCAGCAGAGCGUCAAUGCCUAUCCUCGAUUCUCUUUUACUUGGUUCAUCUUGCUCGUGGGUCGACUACAAUAGAAGAUAGCUUCUGCCACGAUCAUUCCCAUGGAAAGAGGAGUGGUGCUUCGUACUUUGCAAGGAACAUUGGCAUUUUCAAGUUUCAAGAGAUAUGACAUUAGAAUUUUGCCAAGCAUCAAGUAUGGUUCACUUUUCAGAAAACACAGCUUUCAUUCAAAGAGGUGAUUAAUUAUAUGUGAAGGAGAAAAGGACAUUAAAGUAAUGCAAUUGGAUUCAAUAUCUAAAAGGGCAGCAGCUUUGGUAAUGAAGGCAGUAUGGAAUUCUAUAUCGAUGAAUCAUUUCCAAGCUCGUGCAACAAUCCUUUGGUCGUUAAAGC
This is an RNA transcript of Nymphaea colorata (pocket water lily), 5038 nucleotides long. It is a transcript of the gene named cysteine-rich repeat secretory protein 38-like, with no coding region annotated. Lineage: Eukaryota; Viridiplantae; Streptophyta; Magnoliopsida; Nymphaeales; Nymphaeaceae. The transcript has 3 exons. The record is from RefSeq and is a predicted model, not a curated record.